RNAcentral lists this ribosomal RNA (433 nucleotides) under uncultured Novosphingobium sp. Its description in RNAcentral is "bacterial SSU rRNA". It matches the Rfam family "Bacterial small subunit ribosomal RNA", at positions 1070 to 1505 of the family's 1533-position model. The record is from RNAcentral. Lineage: Bacteria; Pseudomonadati; Pseudomonadota; Alphaproteobacteria; Sphingomonadales; Sphingomonadaceae.
AGAUGUUGGGUUAAGUCCCGCAACGAGCGCAACCCUCGUCCUUAGUUGCCAUCAUUCAGUUGGGCACUCUAAGGAAACUGCCGGUGAUAAGCCGGAGGAAGGUGGGGAUGACGUCAAGUCCUCAUGGCCCUUACACGCUGGGCUACACACGUGCUACAAUGGCGGUGACAGUGGGCAGCAAACUCGCGAGAGUGAGCUAAUCUCCAAAAACCGUCUCAGUUCGGAUUGUUCUCUGCAACUCGAGAGCAUGAAGGCGGAAUCGCUAGUAAUCGCGGAUCAGCAUGCCGCGGUGAAUACGUUCCCAGGCCUUGUACACACCGCCCGUCACACCAUGGGAGUUGGUUUCACCCGAAGGCAGUGCGCUAACCGCAAGGAGGCAGCUGACCACGGUGGGAUCAGCGACUGGGGUGAAGUCGUAACAAGGUAACCGUAA